This 68-nucleotide transfer RNA is filed under the name Marmota monax (woodchuck). RNAcentral describes it as "tRNA.Ala". Lineage: Eukaryota; Metazoa; Chordata; Mammalia; Rodentia; Sciuridae. The record is from RNAcentral.
GGACUGUAGCUCAAUGGUAAAGUGCUUGCCUCGCAUGUGUGAGGCAUUGGGUUCGAUCCUCAGCACCA